UCAGAAAUAACUCCGCUGAAACAUAUUUCCACCUAAAAAACAUGAAUGACUCCGAGGGAAGAAAUAUAUCCCAUAAUUAAAGGCGGCAGCGCUUUGAGGGGAAUGAAGCCUGGAGGAAAAGAGGAAGAAGGGGAACGAAAAAAAAAAGGAGGUGUAUGGGGAAGCAGAGAACGAGAGAGAUUUUUUUUAUUUCUGUGUUUGUUGCAUCGGGCCGAGAUUAGCAGCAGGUUUAUCAAGACAAGCCUCUGUGGCAACUUCGGGUGCGUGGGGAGAACGCGACAGCUCAUGAGGAGCAGAGAAGAGAAGAGAUUAAGGAACAGAGCCUAACUCCGAGAAAAGAGUCACGUUUGUUCCUCGGUCCUGAUGCGAAAUGACGUCAGCAAUUGCAUACCCUAUCGUCGUCAGAUCGAGCAGGACGGGGAGAGAGGCCUUUUCUCUGCCUUCCUUGCCUCCUUCUCCCCUCUCUGUCGGGACAAACUUCCAUCAGGAUUAUGCAAAAUCAUGUCCUAAGAGCUCCUGGCCGAUGCGACACCUUUCCCUCCGCGUGCCAUGCCAUCCAUACAUCCAGCAUAUGGAAAGCUCGGCAGGUCCCUGCGCCUAUAUGAUCUGGUACCACAUUAGUUUCCAGCAAUAUUUACAGCACUGCUUUUAAUAUGCACCAGAUGGUUUGCGAUGAUGCUGCCUCAGCCAGGGAGAUCUUUGGUUUUUAUUCAGCAGCGUUUUGUUACAAUUAUAAUCCAUGCUGAGACCAAUUUUAUUGGUGACCUUUAUUUUUUUCCCAUAUCUGUGAUAUUUUAUAUUACAAAAAAACCCAAAACUUAACUUCUCUGCAGCCUCUUGGCACAGAGGCAGGGUGGACAGGAAGGCAAGAGCAGUGGCAAACAGCUCUCAUUCUCAAUAACGAGAUGCUCCUGUGUAUAUACAUGUGUGCACAGAUAAAUAAUACAUAUGCAUAUUUAUUCAUUAUAUUUGAUCAAUAACGCUCAUAUUUGUUAAACCUCAAAUGAGUGCACUUGCCUGCAUGAUAACAAACAUCACAGGGCAAUAAAUAUUGCAUACAGUUAAUUAUUAUGCCUUGGUCUUCUUAUAUACUCAGACCCCUCGUAAAACUCCUUGCAAACACAAAUGUCUCUCACAGAUAUUUCGCUGUGAAAAUGGAAAAACUCAACACCUUGAAGUGUCUGAGAAUUCUUAAAUAUUGACAGGAGGAAACUGUGGCUAAUAUAUUCCUGCGAGCUAAACACUCUGUUUUUAAGAGAGGAGAGAGAGGGAGAGAGAGCAAUCCUUGUCUAGAAAACAUUCCAGGGCUUUUAUUUCACUGCCUUGGAUAUGUUAUCAGAAAGCUACAUCCAGGGUCGCGUUCGUUUUUCUCCUGAAAUUCCGAGAUUCCGCUCGUUUUUCUCGCUCUCUCUCUCUUUCUAUUUUUUUCUUUUUUUUUUUUUUUUUUUCCCCUCUACGGCAGAGAGCCUGGUUUCAGUGUGGCUGUGUAAAUAGCCGUCCUUUGCAGGUGUUUCCCUCUACACGAACGCUUUCCCUGCUUUUAUAGGAACUCACAUUUAUUUCCUAUCCUGCCAAAAUCACAGAUGUUUAUUUUAUUGAUGUAGCCUAUACCUUGGUUGUGCCAGGAAUAGUAUGUCUCUACUAAAAAUCAUUUAGCAAAUAAUCGAGGCAUUCUGGAUGCUUUCCAAUUUAUAUAUGUACUUGGUCAUAAAGUGAUAUGGAAAAAAAUUAACAUCUGCUUUCCUAAAAUAAAGUAUUACAAGUA
This is a long non-coding RNA of Vidua chalybeata, 1765 nucleotides long. RefSeq lists it as uncharacterized. NCBI's taxonomy places the organism in Eukaryota, Metazoa, Chordata, Aves, Passeriformes, Viduidae. The transcript has 2 exons. The record is from RefSeq and is a predicted model, not a curated record.